AUUAACGCUGGCGGCGUGCAUAACCCAUGCAGGUCGAACGAUGAAACUUAAAUGAUUUCUUCGGAAUGAACUUAAGUGAAUUAGUGGCGGACGGGUGAGUAACGCGUGAGUAACCUGCCUUACACAAGGGGAUAGCCGUUGGAAACGACGAAUAAUACCCUAUGAAACUAUCACUUCGCAUGAAGCGAUAGUCAAAGUGUUAGCGGUGUAAGAUGGACUUGCGUCUGAUUAGCUAGUUGGUGAGAAAAAAGCCCACCAAGGCAACGAUCAGUAGCCGGCUUGAGAGAGUGUACGGCCACAUUGGGACUGGGACACGGCCCAGACUCCUACGGGAGGCAGCAGUGGGGAAUUUUGCACAAUGGGGGAAACCCUGAUGCAGCGACGCCGCGUGAUUUAGAAGGCCUUCGGGUUGUAAAAAUCUUUUGUAUAGGAAGAAAAUGACAGUACUAUACGAAUAAGGUCCGGCUAAUUACGUG
This 476-nucleotide ribosomal RNA is filed under the name uncultured bacterium. RNAcentral describes it as "partial 16S ribosomal RNA". It matches the Rfam family "Bacterial small subunit ribosomal RNA", at positions 29 to 507 of the family's 1533-position model. The record is from RNAcentral.